RNAcentral lists this unclassified non-coding RNA (359 nucleotides) under Hevea brasiliensis (rubber tree). Lineage: Eukaryota; Viridiplantae; Streptophyta; Magnoliopsida; Malpighiales; Euphorbiaceae. The record is from RNAcentral.
UAAAACACAUGUUUCUUCAAGAGUAAUGGGAACAUACGGUUAUUGUGCUCCAGAGUACCAAAGAACUGGCCAAUUGACAGUUAAAUCAGAUGUAUACAGCUUUGGAGUUGUUCUAUUAGAAUUAGUAACCGGAAGGAAACCAAUCGAGGAAGCCUAUGGAGAAGGCAAAGACUUGGUUUAUUGGGCAUCAACUCAUCUUAAUGACAAAGGAAGUGUUCUGAAUAUUCUUGAUCAAAAGGUGGUUUCCGAGCUUGUCCAAGAUGACAUGAUCAAAGUUCUGAGGAUUUCUGCCCUAUGUACGACUAAGCUUCCUAAUUUACGCCCCAGCAUGAAAGAAGUAGUAAAGAUGCUUGUUGAUG